CAUUAUGUGGAAUUCUUAUGGUCAUGACCAUCAUGGGGUGAAAAUGUUUCACCAUGACAGCCCUGAUAACAUGGUCAGUGUUUGUUUAUAAUAAAUCUCACAGAUUUUUCAGCUCACUUUUUUUUGAAAACUGAAAACUGUCUCCACUUGUCACAA
This is a non-coding RNA of Xyrichtys novacula (pearly razorfish), 156 nucleotides long. The record is from the annotation of a GenBank genome assembly. Lineage: Eukaryota; Metazoa; Chordata; Actinopteri; Labriformes; Labridae.